GACGAACGCUGGCGGCGUGCUUAACACAUGCAAGUCUAGGGACACUUCGGUGUCACUGGCGCACGGGUGAGUAACACGUAGGUUAUCUGCCCCCAUCACAGACAAAACAUCGGGAAACUGGUGCUAAUAUCUGAUGAGGCCGCGAGGUCAAAGCUUCGGCGGAUGGGGAUGAGCCUGCGGCUGAUUAGCUAGUUGGUGAGGUAAUGGCUCACCAAGGCGACGAUCAGUAGCUGGUCUGAGAGGACGAACAGCCACACUGGAACUGAGACACGGUCCAGACUCCUACGGGAGGCAGCAGUGAGGAAUAUUGGUCAAUGGGAGCAAUCCUGAACCAGCAAUGCCGCGUGUGGGAUGACAGGGCUCAGCCUUGUAAACCACUGUCGGAUGGGACGAAAAGAGGCCUUGGGCCUCCGGGACGGUACCAUCAAAGGAAGGGUCGGCUAACUACGUGCCAGCAGCCGCGGUAAUACGUAGGACCCGAGCGUUGUCCGGAAUUACUGGGUAUAAAGGGUGCGUAGGCGGUCUUGUGCGUCAGGGGUGAAAUCUCCGGGCUUAACCCGGAUGGUGCCUUUGAUACGGCAGGAUUUGAGUGCGAGAGAGGAUGAUGGAAUUCCUGGUGUAGCGGUGAAAUGCGUAGAUAUCAGGAGGAACACCGGUGGCGAAGGCGGUCAUCUGGCUCGUAACUGACGCUGAGGCACGAAAGCGCGGGGAUCAAACAGGAUUAGAUACCCUGGUAGUCCGCGCCCUAAACGAUGUAUGCUUGGUGUUGGGUCCGCAAGGACUCAGUGCCGAAGGAAAUCUGGUAAGCAUACCACCUGGGGAGUACGAUCGCAAGGUUGAAACUCAAAGGAAUUGACGGGGGCCCGCACAAGCGGUGGAUCAUGUGGUUUAAUUCGAUGCAACGCGAAGAACCUUACCCAGGCUUGAAGUGUAAGUAGUACAGAGAUGAAAGUCGACGGACCCGU
RNAcentral lists this ribosomal RNA (965 nucleotides) under uncultured bacterium. RNAcentral describes it as "bacterial SSU rRNA". It matches the Rfam family "Bacterial small subunit ribosomal RNA", at positions 28 to 1020 of the family's 1533-position model. The record is from RNAcentral.